AAGCGCUUGCAACCAGACUUGCGCGUGGCCGAUCAUCCUGUGCUCGCACGGGUGCACUCGGCCGCGCGCAGGCCAGCAUCGGUUUGGGUGGCUGGAUAAAGGCCUUGGGAAUGUAGCUUCUUUCGGGGAGUGUUAUAGCCCUCGGUGCAAUGCCGCCUACCUAGACCGAGGACCGCGCUUCGGCUAGGAUGCUGGCGUAAUGGUUGUAAGCGA
This 213-nucleotide ribosomal RNA is filed under the name Helotiales sp. Its description in RNAcentral is "partial large subunit ribosomal RNA". The record is from RNAcentral. Lineage: Eukaryota; Fungi; Ascomycota; Leotiomycetes; Helotiales.